AAUGCAUCUAGAUUAGAGUUUGAUCAUGGCUCAGAUUGAACGCUGGCGGCAUGCCUUACACAUGCAAGUCGAACGGUAACAGGUCUUCGGACGCUGACGAGUGGCGAACGGGUGAGUAAUACAUCGGAACGUGCCCAGUCGUGGGGGAUAACUACUCGAAAGAGUAGCUAAUACCGCAUACGAUCUGAGGAUGAAAGCGGGGGACCUUCGGGCCUCGCGCGAUUGGAGCGGCCGAUGGCAGAUUAGGUAGUUGGUGGGAUAAAAGCUUACCAAGCCGACGAUCUGUAGCUGGUCUGAGAGGANUACCAGCCACACUGGGACUGAGACACGGCCCAGACUCCUACGGGAGGCAGCAGUGGGGAAUUUUGGACAAUGGGCGAAAGCCUGAUCCAGCAAUGCCGCGUGCAGGAUGAAGGCCUUCGGGUUGUAAACUGCUUUUGUACGGAACGAAAAAGCUCCUUCUAAUACAGGGGGCCCAUGACGGUACCGUAAGAAUAAGCACCGGCUAACUACGUGCCAGCAGCCGCGGUAAUACG
RNAcentral lists this ribosomal RNA (536 nucleotides) under uncultured bacterium. Its description in RNAcentral is "bacterial SSU rRNA". It matches the Rfam family "Bacterial small subunit ribosomal RNA", at positions 1 to 527 of the family's 1533-position model. The record is from RNAcentral.